Oncorhynchus gorbuscha (pink salmon) is the source of this 444-nucleotide long non-coding RNA. RefSeq lists it as uncharacterized. The transcript has 5 exons. NCBI's taxonomy places the organism in Eukaryota, Metazoa, Chordata, Actinopteri, Salmoniformes, Salmonidae. The record is from RefSeq and is a predicted model, not a curated record.
CAACAACACCACCAGCUACAAAACCAGCUGCUAUUCUGCUGCUGGCGAUGUCCUUCAAAAUGAAUGAAGAUUUCACCAACGAACUAAAUGAUAAAAAUAGUGUCAAAUACAAAAAGUACAAAGACGAUAUUGAACCAGUUAUCCAGGAACAGUAUAGGAACAACAUGCCAGGGUUUAUUUCAGCAGCAUUGACAAGUUUCAGCCGUGGAAGUGUUAUAGCCAACUUUGAUGUUAGGACCACAGCUGCAGACCCCACUGCAAUUAACAAAGCUAAUGCUGGACUUGCAACAUCACUUCCAGCUGUUUAUCAAGUUGAUACUAGCUCUUUCAAUAUUAUUUAUAACAGUAGCACAGUAUUAAGUUAUAAACCAACUACCAUUUACACUAAUGGCAUCAUGACUCUGGAGUGUGGACCACCUCCUGAUACUGUAAAGAUGGGUACUG